This 635-nucleotide ribosomal RNA is filed under the name uncultured Candidatus Poseidoniales archaeon. RNAcentral describes it as "bacterial SSU rRNA". It matches the Rfam family "Archaeal small subunit ribosomal RNA", at positions 287 to 923 of the family's 1478-position model. Lineage: Archaea; Methanobacteriati; Thermoplasmatota; Candidatus Poseidoniia; Candidatus Poseidoniales. The record is from RNAcentral.
AGCCCGGAGAUGGAUUCUGGGACACGAAUCCAGACCCUACGGGGUGCAGCAGGCGCGAAAACUUGGCAAUGCGAGAAAUCGUGACCAGGGAACUCCAAGUGGCUGGGGUAAGACCCAGUCUUUUCUUGACUCUUCAAAGGUCUUGGAAUAAGAGGUGGGUAAGGACGGUGCCAGCCGCCGCGGUAAUACCGGCGCCUCAAGUGGUAGUCGAUUUUAUUGGGCCUAAAACGUCCGUAGCCUGUUUGGUACAUUCGUGGGUAAAUCAACCAGCUUAACUGGUUGAAUUCUGCGAGCACGGCCAGACUUGGGACCGGGAGAGGUGUGGGGUACGCUCAGGGUAGGGGUAAAAUCCUGUCAUCCUGAGCGGACCGCCUGUUGCGAAGGCGCCACACUAGAACGGAUCCGACGGUCAGGGACGAAGCCUAGGGGCACGAACCGGAUUAGAUACCCGGGUAGUCCUAGGUGUAAACGCUGUGGACUUGGUGUUGGGGAUUCUCCGAGGAUUUUCAGUGCCGAAGCGAAGGUGAUAAGUCCACCGCCUGGGGAGUACGGUCGCAAGGCUGAAACUUAAAGGAAUUGGCGGGGGAGCACCGCAACCUGAGGAUUGUGCGGUUUAAUUGGACUCAACGCCGGGA